This 79-nucleotide small RNA is filed under the name Staphylococcus aureus. RNAcentral describes it as "HMPRNC0000_2435". Lineage: Bacteria; Bacillati; Bacillota; Bacilli; Caryophanales; Staphylococcaceae. The record is from RNAcentral.
UGUUGUCCAAGGUAAAUUCACACUAAAACUAUUCAUUCCUAACACUUCAACGAAAAGUUUGAAAAUCCAUACGUUAACA